Mycena vulgaris is the source of this 93-nucleotide non-coding RNA. NCBI's taxonomy places the organism in Eukaryota, Fungi, Basidiomycota, Agaricomycetes, Agaricales, Mycenaceae. The record is from the annotation of a GenBank genome assembly.
GACCUCAUAGCAUAUUGUGGAGUGCAUCUGCUUUCUAUUAGGAAGCAGUGUGAUGUUCAGCAGAAGGUCCCCGUUCGAUUCGGGGUCAGGUCC